Molecule: long non-coding RNA, 2273 nt
Organism: Felis catus (domestic cat)
Lineage: Eukaryota; Metazoa; Chordata; Mammalia; Carnivora; Felidae
Exons: 6
Source: RefSeq, a predicted model, not a curated record
UACAGAUAUGCCAUUGUAAUGGAGAAUAUAAAUGAAGUAAUUAAUUUUUAGCAAAUGACUACCAGUUUUUAUUAAAGGGAUAGAUGCAUGAAGCUACCUAUGAUCUUGAGGAGCAGUAGGCUCUUAUUAUUUGCAUACUCACUUAAAAGUCUAAUAUCAAGGAACAUUGAACUAAUUAUAAAAACAAGCUCUUCAAGAAGAAUCCUAUGUAGAUUUUUGUGUAUGAAUUAUCUGGAAAGAAUGAGCUACCGUAAAUAUGGUUGGUUAUUCAAUUCUUCAUUUCAUUUCACUCACAGAAUUUCAACUUAGUCUUAAUAAUCAGCACUCAUAGACUAAGGUAAAAAGAACUUAACUUUGGUACAUGCUUAAUGCUUCAGUGUAGCUUUCCUAAGACUGUUAUAAUGGGUUUCUCUCUGGCUCAUAAACAACCUCUAAUUCUAGUUAAUCUGUGUAGGCAAAUGAAAAACCUAGCAGAGAAAUGUAAGAGGAAAAAAAAAUAUCAUUCACUGUCCUGCAAAAGGUCUUCUAGGCUUUUUGUUGUACAUUGUUCUCUUCAACUCUUGAAACCAGUUUUCAAUUUCUUAUUGCUCGUUAGAGAUAAUUCUGGGUGUAGUGAUUUCCUAUGCCUUCUGAUAGUGUAGCUCCUAACUGUCACCCACUACUGCUUUCUCACCGAUUCAUCUACACUUUCCUUCCUUCCCCUAUCACUUUAUAGAGCAUGCCACAUCUACUUGUAUGCCAGAGCCUAUCUUUCAUAAGUGUUUAUUUCAUCGCUAAUACCUAUGGCUCAUGCUAUCAGUCUUUAUUUGUUCCUUUAAUGGCCAACUCCCUAAACCUGCUGAGUAUAACAGCAAAAUUCCUUUGUCUUUAGGGGAAAAUGUGAUGUCUAUAAAUAUUUAUUAAAAUACUGUGUUUAUUGAGAUUUUUAAGUCAUAUCCUUAUUUUUAAUUGUUCAAAACUAGAACAAAAACAAAAGAGCCAAGUAAAACAAGUAAAUAAAUUAUUAUAUUCAUAUAGUAGAAUACCACACAGUAGAAUACUAUACAGCAAUGAGAAAAUUGUAUGACUUUAACAUACAAGGUUGUUAAAUUUGUAGAUAUAAUAUUAAGUGAAAGAAUUAUUCUAUUUAUAUGAAGUUUUAAAAGAGACAAAACCAUGAAAAUAGAAGUGAACCAGUUGUGUUCUUUUUCCGUAGGAUUAUAAUGGUAAAUGGACAUAAGGGAAGUUUCCUAGUUGCUAUUAUACUAUGUCUUGAUCUGGGUGGUGGUUUCACAGAUGUAUUUGCUUUGUAAAAUUCAUUGAGCUGCACACUUAGUGUUUGUGUAUGUUGAGUGUAUUACAUUUCUUUUUUUCCUCAUCUUUUUUAUUUAAUGCUAUUUCAUAUAAACAAUAAUGUUAUUUUAUAUCCAUUAAGAUGGGCCACAGAGCUGUGGUUUCAAAUAACUGUUUACUAUUAGAUUCCCUUAUUUCUUUUUACCUUUUGAGUGCCUUCACCCAUUUCUCCCUCUCCCCACUUCCUGAUUCUGGAAACUAUCAAUCUGUUGUAUCUAUAAGCUUGGUUUAUUUAUUUUAGAUUCCACAUGCAAGAGAUCAUAUGGUGUUUGUCUUACUAUGUGCCUGGACUAGUGCUUGGGAUACAAAGGUUGUACAAGUUCAUAUCAUUUUGUGUCACUGGAUUUGUUGGAGAUUAAAUGAUUGGUGAUCACAAGUGCUUUUUUCCAGAAUCCUUGGGAAGCUCCAGCACGCCAAUGGAUAUCAUUGUUUUAUAUAUCAGUCUCCUCUGUUGGAUUGUGAAUCUCUCAAAGCCAGGAAUCCUAUAUCCCUGUAUCCCUGCAUCUCUGUAUCUCUACAAGUAACCACAGUGCUUGGUACAAGCUCAGAAGCCGAACUAUUGCAGAAACUAUGUAAGGAUCAUCUCCAGAGACAGGUUUCUCAUGCUUAUGGAUAAAAAUCAGAGGGACUAACAUAUAAUAAUACUGGAGAAGAUGAGACAUCGGAAAAUGUUAUUAUAUUAAUAACAUUGGAAAAUUUAUUAUAUGAAUAUCUACAUGACCAUCCAGAAAUAAAAUGUAUUGCAACUUCUGCUCUUGCCAUCUUGGAACCCUGAGACCAUGAUGGUAUGAAACUCUCUGGGAUGAAAAACCACGUGCCAAGAGUCUUAGCCUUCCCAGCCGUGCCAGCUGUCCUAGCUGAGACUCCAGAGGUGUGAAAAGGCCAUCUUAGACCGUUCCAUCCCAACAAAAGCAAUAAACAAAUACUUGUCUCAAGAUUCA